RNAcentral lists this ribosomal RNA (253 nucleotides) under uncultured bacterium. RNAcentral's name for it is "partial 16S ribosomal RNA". It matches the Rfam family "Bacterial small subunit ribosomal RNA", at positions 524 to 776 of the family's 1533-position model. The record is from RNAcentral.
UACAGAGGGGGCGAGCGUUAUUCGGAAUUAUUGGGCGUAAAGGGCGCGUAGGCGGCUACGCACGUCCGUUGUGAAAUCGCUCGGCUCAACUGGGCGGGGUCAGCGGAUACGGCGUAGCUGGAGCAAGCUAGGGGGCAAUGGAAUUCCCGGUGUAGUGGUGGAAUGCGUAGAUAUCGGGAGGAACACCAGUGGCGAAGGCGGUUGCCUGGAGCUUUGCUGACGCUGAUGCGCGAAAGCGUGGGGAGCGAUCCGG